UACGUAGGUGGCAAGCGUUAUCCGGAUUUAUUGGGCGUAAAGAGAACGCAGGCGGUCUUUUAAGUCUGAUGUGAAGGCCUUCGGCUUAACCGGAGUAGUGCAUUGGAAACUGGGAGACUUGAGUGCAGAAGAGGAGAGUGGAACUUCAUGUGUAGCGGUGAAAUGCGUAGAUAUAUGGAAGAACACCAGUGGCGAAAGCGGCUCUCUGGUCUGUAACUGACGCUGAGGUUCGAAAGCGUGGGUAGCAAACAGG
Molecule: ribosomal RNA, 253 nt
Filed under: uncultured bacterium
Lineage: Bacteria
Description: partial 16S ribosomal RNA
Rfam family: Bacterial small subunit ribosomal RNA
Source: RNAcentral